UACGGAGGGGGCUAGCGUUGUUCGGAAUUACUGGGCGUAAAGCGCACGUAGGCGGCUUUGUAAGUUAGAGGUGAAAGCCCGGGGCUCAACUCCGGAAUUGCCUUUAAGACUGCAUCGCUAGAAUUGUGGAGAGGUAAGUGGAAUUCCGAGUGUAGAGGUGAAAUUCGUAGAUAUCGGGAGGAACACCAGUGGCGAAGGCGGCUACCUGGCACAUAACUGACGCUGAUACGCGAAAGCGUGGGGAGCGAACCGG
This 253-nucleotide ribosomal RNA is filed under the name uncultured bacterium. Its description in RNAcentral is "partial 16S ribosomal RNA". It matches the Rfam family "Bacterial small subunit ribosomal RNA", at positions 524 to 776 of the family's 1533-position model. The record is from RNAcentral.